GUGCCCCCGCUGUGGAGAAGCGUGGGGAGCCCCAGGGUAGGCUCCUGCCGGGCCCGCGGGGCCCAGGCAGCUGCGCAGCCCCAAGGCCGCGGCCCGCGGACAACUGCUUAAGCCAAUGGUAAUCCUGAGCAGAGCUGAAUGGCGUUGUCUAGGCUGCACCAGGCAUCCAGAACUGGGCCAAAUCCCAGGGAAAUGAUGAUCAGUGUUCCACUGCACACAUCCCUCAGCUUUUCUGAAGAGUACUCCUGCUCCUAAGGCUGGAUGUCCUUGUAAGCUUAAGCUUCUACAUGGCCACAAGUAAUUUCAGCCUCAAUUUGUGAAAGGGCAAAAUCAGAUGUAUGACAGAGGUGUUCUCCUGCAUUAAAAGGGAUUCACUUGUG
Molecule: long non-coding RNA, 380 nt
Organism: Apus apus (common swift)
Lineage: Eukaryota; Metazoa; Chordata; Aves; Apodiformes; Apodidae
Exons: 3
Source: RefSeq, a predicted model, not a curated record